RNAcentral lists this ribosomal RNA (454 nucleotides) under Argiope hoiseni. RNAcentral describes it as "partial 16S ribosomal RNA". It matches the Rfam family "Bacterial large subunit ribosomal RNA", at positions 1827 to 2604 of the family's 2925-position model. Lineage: Eukaryota; Metazoa; Arthropoda; Arachnida; Araneae; Araneidae. The record is from RNAcentral.
CAUUUCUUACUAAAAUAAUUGUAAGUAACACCUGCUCAAUGAACAUUUAAAUAGCCGCGGAAAUUUAACCGUGCUAAGGUAGCAUAAUCAUUAGCCUCUUAAUUAGAGGCUAGCAUGAACGGUGAAACACUUCAAUUACUUUUUUGGUUAAUAUUUUUAAACUUAAAUUAAGAAUAAAAAUGUUCUUAUUAAUAAAAAAGACGAUAAGACCCUUUUGAACUUUACUUCAGUUUAGCUGGGGCAGCUAAAUAAAAAUAAUCUUAUAUUAAAUAUUCACUUAAACGACCCAGUAUAAUUGAUUAAUUGACCAAGUUACCAUAGGGAUAACAGCGUAAUAUCUUUUUAAAGCUCUUAUUAAAAAAGAAGAUUGCGACCUCGAUGUUGAAUUAAUGUAACUUUACUGAUGCAGUAAUUUUAAAAGUAGGUCUGUUCGACCUUUAAAACAUUACAUGAU